GAUGAACGCUGGCGGCGUGCCUAAUACAUGCAAGUCGAGCGAACGGACGAGAAGCUUGCUUCUCUGAUGUUAGCGGCGGACGGGUGAGUAACACGUGGAUAACCUACCUAUAAGACUGGGAUAACUUCGGGAAACCGGAGCUAAUACCGGAUAAUAUUUUGAACCGCAUGGUUCAAAAGUAAAAGACGGUCUUGCUGUCACUUAUAGAUGGAUCCGCACUGCAUUAGCUAGUUGGUAAGGUAACGGCUUACCAAGGCAACGAUGCAUAGCCGACCUGAGAGGGUGAUCGGCCAAACUGGAACUGAGACACGGUCCAGACUCCUACGGGAGGCAGCAGUAGGGAAUCUUCCGCAAUGGGCGAAAGCCUGACGGAGCAACGCCGCGUGAGUGAUGAAGGUCUUCGGAUCGUAAAACUCUGUUAUUAGGGAAGAACAUAUGUGUAAGUAACUGUGCACAUCUUGACGGUACCUAAUCAGAAAGCCACGGCUAACUACGUG
RNAcentral lists this ribosomal RNA (497 nucleotides) under uncultured bacterium. RNAcentral's name for it is "partial 16S ribosomal RNA". It matches the Rfam family "Bacterial small subunit ribosomal RNA", at positions 28 to 507 of the family's 1533-position model. The record is from RNAcentral.